Molecule: long non-coding RNA, 899 nt
Filed under: Neodiprion lecontei (redheaded pine sawfly)
Lineage: Eukaryota; Metazoa; Arthropoda; Insecta; Hymenoptera; Diprionidae
Description: uncharacterized LOC124292829
Source: RNAcentral
ACUUCUGUAGAGUUAUCGGUGAGAAUCCGUUGUGAUCGUUGUGAUCAUUGUGAUUGCGUGUCUCUUUCUUCAGUUAGCAUCCUGACUCAACGUGCCGUAUCCUCGCUCUGUGUCUCCAUCGAUAAUGUUGUCGGUUGAAAGCGGUUUAGACAACUCUUGCAAAUCAAAGCGAAGAAACAGUGACAUUGAAUGAGUACAGUGUGCUAACUGUUCCAAUGGUGCUUGGUCUACACUCGCAAUUUCCAAUUUACCAACAGGGCACUUGCAAAUCCUCUCGACCGACCAAGUGCAGAUGUUUACGCAAGUAGAGAUCUGCAGAGUGCAGAUUAUGCACAGCAGUACUUUGAACCAAACUGUAAUAUUAGCUGCUGGUAAUUUAGCCUUGACGAUCAGGAUCAAGACGAACGAGCCUCUCGCUUUCCCAGUGUGUAGGUGGGGCGGAAUUCACGGGGAAGGUCGCUGACCGAAGACACGUGUGCAACUGGUAGGCAUCAUGACGUUCGUAGAUGCAUGAAGUCACAAGGCCGUGAACAAAUGCAGACGUGCCGCUUUCUCUUCCUACUUACUCUUCCUACAAUCCAUGCCUACGCUUACGUAACACCAAGUCUUCGGUUUUUGCUCCCCAAGCUACCUCUAUGAUAAUAUCCAGGUCGUUGGCCAGGCUCUGCGCGACUUUCAAUCUUCGGUCUGACAGAGGGUCAUGAAUAAAGAUUCCCUUUUUCCACCGCUCGAGUCAGUGACACAAACUUCAACAGAUAUUUUUUAAUGACUCUUACACGUGGAAUACGCGAAUUCGUUAUCUGAAUUCACGGCCAAAUGUAAACCAGUGUCAGAUGUCUCGCCAGAUUUUACUAAACGAUGAAUAAGUUCUGAGUUUAAUGUAGCCGAAUCAAUAGCAC